AUGAAUUGACUGAAUGGGUUUUGGUCCAACCAGUGCAUGUUCAGUUGAUCAUUUAUGAAGUUCAGGUAACAGCUGUCUUUCUCUCCAAAAAAUGUUGUGUAUUUGUUGUGCUGGCCAUAAAAACUGCAGCCCUCAUAAAUGUUGUGUAUUUGUUGUGCUGGCCAUAAAAACUGCAGCCCUCAUAAAUGUUGUGUAUUUGUUGUGCUGGCCAUAAAAACUGCAGCCCUCAUAAAUGUUGUGUAUUUGUUGUGCUGGCCAUAAAAACUGCAGCCCUCAUAAAUGUUGUGUAUUUGUUGUGCUGGCCAUAAAAACUGCAGCCCUCAUAAAUGUUGUGUAUUUGUUGUGCUGGCCAUAAAAACUGCAGCCCUCAUAAAUGUUCAGUAAGAGUAGAAGAUGACUGAAGGUCAGGUUCUAGAGGUGUUGUGAUACAGACUAAAUGUUGUGUAUUUGUUGUGCUGGCCAUAAAAACUGCAGCCCUCAUAAAUGUUCAGUAAGAGUAGAAGAUGACUGAAGGUCAGGUUCUAGAGGUGUUGUGAUACAGACUUAAGGCCAGGUUCUAGAGGUGUUGUGAUACAGACUAAAUGUCAGGUUCUAGAGGUGUUGUGAUACAGACUAAAUGUCAGGUUCUAGAGGUGUUGUGAUACAGACUAAAUGUUGUGUAUUUGUUGUGCUGGCCAUAAAAACUGCAGCCCUCAUAAAUGUUCAGUAAGAGUAGAAGAUGACUGAAGGUCAGGUUCUAGAGGUGUUGUGAUACAGACUUAAGGCCAGGUUCUAGAGGUGUUGUGAUACAGACUAAAUGUCAGGUUCUAGAGGUGUUGUGAUACAGACUAAAUGUCAGGUUCUAGAGGUGUUGUGAUACAGACUAAAUGUCAGGUUCUAGAGGUGUUGUGAUACAGACUAAAUGUCAGGUUCUAGAGGUGUUGUGAUACAGACUAAAUGUCAGGUUCUAG
Oncorhynchus gorbuscha (pink salmon) is the source of this 950-nucleotide long non-coding RNA. RefSeq lists it as uncharacterized. The transcript is spliced from 3 exons. Lineage: Eukaryota; Metazoa; Chordata; Actinopteri; Salmoniformes; Salmonidae. The record is from RefSeq and is a predicted model, not a curated record.